UACGGAAGGGGCUAGCGUUGUUCGGAAUUACUGGGCGUAAAGAGAGCGUAGGCGGCUUACCAAGUUGGGGGUGAAAUCCCGGAGCUCAACUCCGGAACUGCCUUCAAAACUGGUAGGCUCGAGUCCGGAAGAGGGACGUGGAAUUCCCAGUGUAGAGGUGAAAUUCGUAGAUAUUGGGAAGAACACCGGUGGCGAAGGCGGCGCCCUGGUCCGGUACUGACGCUGAGGCGCGAAAGCGUGGGGAGCAAACAGU
RNAcentral lists this ribosomal RNA (253 nucleotides) under uncultured bacterium. RNAcentral describes it as "partial 16S ribosomal RNA". It matches the Rfam family "Bacterial small subunit ribosomal RNA", at positions 524 to 776 of the family's 1533-position model. The record is from RNAcentral.